AUUGAACGCUGGCGGCAGGCCUAACACAUGCAAGUCGAGCGGAUGAAGGGAGCUUGCUCCUGGAUUCAGCGGCGGACGGGUGAGUAAUGCCUAGGAAUCUGCCUGGUAGUGGGGGAUAACGUCCGGAAACGGGCGCUAAUACCGCAUACGUCCUGAGGGAGAAAGUGGGGGAUCUUCGGACCUCACGCUAUCAGAUGAGCCUAGGUCGGAUUAGCUAGUUGGUGGGGUAAAGGCCUACCAAGGCGACGAUCCGUAACUGGUCUGAGAGGAUGAUCAGUCACACUGGAACUGAGACACGGUCCAGAGUCCUACGGGGGGCAGCAGUGGGGAAUAUUGGACACUGGGCGAAAGCCUGAUCCAGCCAUGCCGCGUGUGUGAAGAAGGUCUUCGGAUUGUAAAGCACUUUAAGUUGGGAGGAAGGGCAGUAAGUUAAUACCUUGCUGUUUUGACGUUACCAACAGAAUAAGCACCGGCUAACUUCGUG
Molecule: ribosomal RNA, 484 nt
Filed under: uncultured bacterium
Lineage: Bacteria
Description: partial 16S ribosomal RNA
Rfam family: Bacterial small subunit ribosomal RNA
Source: RNAcentral